GAUACUUCAGACUUCAGAUGCUAAUUUUAAGAUAAAAAACAAACAAACAACAAAUAUAACAAAAGAUUAGUUGUUUAGCAUAAAAUAAGGACAGGUGCGUGUUAAAGCUGUGCUAGUGCAGUGUCAACAAGUCCAGAGGCUCAGUAAGUUCACUGGGCUAAGAGGCAAAGUGAUAAGGUCUAUGUGUUAUCGCUUCCCUUUUUUUCCACACUUUGGUGAUGCUGCCACUGCCGCUAGGCAGAGAGGUCAAAUGUACAUAAGCCAAUCAGCUUUUUCAAUUUUUCCAUCGAAAGCAACACAUUGAGUUGGUGCGAUAUGGACAUGCUUAGGAGGACAGAGGGUGAAGGCACACAGAGACAACAGAGGAAGUGAAACACCAUCUCAGAUAAGCCAGAUUAACCGGGGUUUUCAUCGAAGCGACACCAGCUCUCGGUUUUUAAACACAUGUCUCGUGCAUACUCAGAUGCUACGGCGUUUGAGGAGCUAGACUGAAAUAAAAACAGCUGGACAAUCUGGUGCCUAAUACUAGCCAGCAAAUCCAGGAAAGCGAGCAUGCGUCUGUAGUUCUUCCUCUAGAGAGGAUUGAAAUGAGCAGGAGUGAAAUGAGCAGAGGAGUGCUACAAAACUGCAAGAAAAAGUGGGGAAACGCAAGCGACCCAAGCGACAAGGGUGAUCUGGACUAGAGGAAGAGGGGGUGAGCGCUAGGAGGCCUGGGGAUGGGUGAGGUGGUUCGAGGAGGGGCGAGGCCAGGCGUGCCAUUCCAUUCCUGCCUGCACUGGCUUAUUCUAUUCCUAGAGUGUGGUAUAUGGCAGUUGAUGUGGCUUUCGUCUUAGCUGCCUUGAAGAUGACUGGGCCCUUACCACAUCCACAUUCACACACAGACACACACACAUGCUCGAAACACACUCACAAAGUGGCAAAUGUGUUCACAUAUACACCAUGUAGUACACACAAAUGUAUACACACACACACACACACACACACACACACACACACACACACACACACACAUACACAAAGAGGAACUGAAUCAUUACCCUGCUUUAGCCUCAAAGUAGGGGGUGACCACUGUACAAGUAUGUGUGUGUAUUUUGUGCAAGCACGAGAGUUGCAGUUCUACAGUGAGCGACACUGGUUCACUGGUAGUGUGCAUGUGCUCGUGUUGUUGCUCAAGUAUGUGUGGGCAUGUGUGUGUGGGUGGGUGUGUAGGAUGUGUGAGCUGGGUGUGGAUGCAUUCCCUCCCUCGCUCUCUCUCUUGCUCUUUCUGCACGUGUGUGCGUGUGCAAUACGUCCAGCACUCCAUCUUUAAAGUCCCCUACUGUUCCAGCGCUGGGCUUAUUAUCUACAGUUGCUCUUCCAACAAAAACAAAAAAACAAAACCAGAAAAAAACCAGCCUGGAACUGUAUCAGUUUAUUUUUGAAUACUAAGAUUUGGAUAGAAAAAUUGAUGGUAGAGAAAAUUGGACUUUAGAAGCGCAAGCACAUAUUUUACUUUUUCUCACUGAAGGCUAUCAGCUGUCAGUGCAAGAAGAGAAUUUGUGGACACUGUUUUCUUGCAGGAACUUUUGCACAGACUAAAAUUCAAGAGUUUAGAUUAAAAUUUUAAAAAAGGAAAAAAACAAACAAAAAACAGUCCACUUAAUCUUUUAACAUCUACCAGGUCACCUGCAAACCAUUGAGCAUUAAGGGUUCUAGGCUGCUUUUAGUUGCACAGCAAAUGCACACGAUUUCAGAAACUAGUUUUUGUUAAGUUUUUGUUUUUCGAAAGUCUCCUACAUGGAUUUCAGCCCUCUACUCCAUCUGUUAUUAUUCCAUCUGUGUAUGCCAAAAUAGGUGAAAAUCCAUCAUUCGAACUUAAAGUGUAACUCUACCCCGAACAGACUGCUGACAACCUGGUGAGUGUGAAGAAGUUCAUACUUAGCUUGUUCCCAUACAGCCUCGGCAAUUUCGUUGGGUUCACAAAGUGAACAUUGCACCAAUCACUUUGCUUUCAGUCACACAAAGAGAUGCUUAGACUACAAGAUGAGACGAGCCUGUAAUGCAGUGCUCACCAACUGCUUGCCACCAAUUAAGCAGCCGUUCCAUGAGGCCUGCUGCCAAUCAGAUAUUAGUUCCAAUAGACCCCAGCCUGAGAGUCUAAUUGGUUAUGAUGGGGGAGUGAGAGCUUCCAACCAAAGAGAGGAAGCCAGUAACUCAGAUUCGGUGGCGACAGAGGUUAUGGAAGCUCUGUCUUUGCUGCCACCUCUGUUCGCCAUCCAAAGUCAUUCCCUGUUCCAGAAUAUUUUCCUGCUAUCCUGUAUCCAUGCUGCUAAAGUCACUUUCCCCGCCACCCUUUCCUUUCUCUCCCUCUCACUUUCUAUCCUUACUAUAAAUUGUGAAGAUAAAACAGGCCUUUACUUGUAAAGCUAUCCCAAAUGGUUCCUUUGGGUGCUGCUAGGUGGCUGUCGGUCGAGUUGCACACUGAAUCCAGACCUUUAGACUGAACAGCCAAAGAACCUCUCCAGAGGGAGCCCCAGCCUCAAAUAUACAGCUUGUACCCCAAACCCAGGCUCAGCCCCCCGGCCUACAGAGAGGGAUGUCUGCAAGCUCUUCGAGGGGGCUGGACUGAUGGGAAAGACCUGGCGAGAUGACCAAGGAAAGCUAACUACCUCCUCGAGCUGCUUUAUGAAGGUUUGGCAAAUGUGCAGGGAGCACAGAAAGAAGGGAGCCGAAAGGAAAGGAAGGCAAAAGGAAAAAAGUAUAGAGAAGGAAUGGAAUGGAUGAAAGGUCUCCCAUUGUCCAAAAUCAGUGUGAGGGUACUUUGCUUUGUCGGGUCACAGGGUUUAAGCAGGACCAGCGCUGAACCCUGGCAAACAUAGCCAUAAAUCUGCUUCAUUAGUGCCAACAUAAGGCAAAGCAGAGGCUAUAAUGUAAUAAUGUAAGCUCUGUCUGCAAGAGGCACAACCCGGCUACUGAUACCUCCACUACCUCCACCCUGAAUACUAACGCACGUUUUGACAAAUAGCCCAAAGAGACCGAAGGUAGAUAAGUCAGUCGUGGAAAGUUUGAUUUUUAGCAGAUAAUCAGAAAGUCUGGCUGUUGUUGUUGGGAAAAUUGUUGAGCCCACUGUGUGUCUUCUUUUAAUCAAGAGUUUCAUUCUUACUUUAAUAAUCCUGCUGAUACACAGGGAUUUCAUUCUGCUCUCUUGAGUGUUGUAUGCAGCUUGUCUAAUAGCAACAUGACCACAGUUCCUUCUUGACGUCGUCCUACUGAAGCCACUUUGAAUAAUCAGCCAAGCUGAGUCAUUGUGCUAACUGAUUACCUUUGGAAAACAAAAGGAACACCUUAAAAACGCAGCUCUGCGGGCCUUGCCCAUUGAUCCUGGUUUUCCAUGACGUGCAUCCGUCUCUACAGCCUCUUUCUUGCACGCGCACGCACGCACGCACACACACUCACAUUGCGACUUAUUGGAAUUCAGUGAGGCCCAGGUAGGGGAAGCUUUGCCCAUAUAUGUGCAAAGGAGGAAACAGGCCAGGUGUGUGUGGUUAGUACACGUUGGAACGUUCUUGAACACACACACACACACACACACACACACACAAAAGAAAUGCACACAAGACGUAUGCAAACACACAAAAUCUCUAACGGGCUUUUUCUGUUGUGCAUGCACACACGGUGCUUUGAGCCCUACGACAUCUAAGUUAUCUAGCUAAGCUCUUAACGCUACAAUCUGCCUGUGAAUGACAGACUUGUGUAAUUGAGCUGUUGAUGUAUAAACAAAGACGAGUCAUGCGAAAAGGAAAGUAGGGAAAAGAAAAAGGAGAAAUGAGUCAAGUCAUAGUUAAGAUUGCUCUUGCGCCGCUUAACCCAGUUUCAGUUACAUAACUCCUGUCAGUGUUGGAAUAACUAUGGUAUGUCACAACGCCUCACUUCCCGACACCAGCCGCUAUGAAUGCAGUUCAAAGUAAAGCCUGCCACAGGUGACUUAAGUCCUAAGUUCCUCCAGCCAUCUGCCACCUGUCAUUAUGCGGUCCACGUUUGCCCCCCCUCCACUCAACGUCACAAGCACAUUGUUCAUGACAUUAAGUGUAGCCGUUAUAUCCUUUUGUUGUCAAGUUAAGUGUGGUGGAAUAAACAGAAAAGCUGCUUUUAUCACUACCCUGUAGAUAUGUGACCAUUCCACAGCAGUUUGUCAGGAUGACACCUUUCUAAUUAACUUAACCUGCUUGCUUGAGGUCCUUUUCAGUACAUUAAAAACAAAAUUCUUACAUUUAAAACUCGCAAAGAAUAAAUAUUUGGUAUUAAAAAAAUUCCCGCAUGUUUAUCUUUGACCAUAAACCUUUAUUCAUAUAUCUUUUAUUUCCACUAGUUAAUAACCAAAUAAAAGUAAUAUAAAAAUAAACUGGUCUUACUCAUUUUUAUUGGUAUUAACUCUGCAUCUCUACAUUAUGUUAUAUGUAGUUAUGUCCUUGACCUAAAAAAGUAACACAUGUCAAUAUAUUCAUUUUUUAUGGGUUAAAUCUGCUCAGCCAGUCAUGGCCUUUUAAAAAGAUUUAAAUCUAUUUAGAAAUUGAAAGUUUAACCAUUCUGUUGAAUAGUUCAGUUUAGUUAGAUUGACUGAGCUUUAUAAUGCUGCAUCACUGCCAAGGUUGAAAUUAGGUUUAGUGAAAGGUUUGUAGAUGACUCGCUGACACCUUGCUGUUUUUUCAAACCACUUUUAUUUGGUUGUUAAAUGGUUGUAAUCUAAUAGCCCCUAAAAUGUCUACUCAUGCCAGUAAUACAGUGCAGCAAAUAAGUGUAUGAUGCAGAUGUAGAUUUCUCACCUUUUUUGGAACCAAAUCUCAAUGUUGCUUUGACAUCUGGAAAAUUAUCUUAAUCAACGUCUAGGAAACUGCUACAACAUGCCCUGGAUUUGUAUACGUGACAAAAAAAAAUGUGCUCUCCUUUUCUUAUUAUCCAAAAACCAAGUCAUUUACGUUUGCCUAUAGAAGCUGCAGAAAGGUGGUGGCUUGAGAUGGUUAGCUGCUUAUUGCCAAGUAGCACAGAGCAGGGUUCACCAUGUAGGCAGGGUGAUAAGACAAAAGGGCAGAUUCCAUGCUAAUCUGCACUUGGGAAUUUAAUCUUCCUCAUCAAGAUACCUGCGAUGCAUCUCGCCGCCAAUCUCUUUUCUAUCGUGCACUCAUGCCGGAAACGCUGCCCCAAUAAGUGCCGACAGAUCCUCGCGCACCAACGUGACAAUUCCUUAUCACCACUCCUCACUCUUUCUCUCCGUCUCGCUAUCACGCCUCCUGAUAAACCAUAAACUAAAGUGGGGACGGAGGAGUGUAGGAACUGCAGUAAGCUCAAGGAGUGGCCAUUAUUGUGUCGCAGUAAAACAAAGGGUGUGCAUGUCCGUCUGUAGGGUUGGCUUCUUGCAGGCACCGGCAUGGUAACGUGGUUAUGGUCCACACACAUACAGACACACACACACACACACACACACACACACAGAGGUCACCCUGAUAAAUUAUUUUCCUGUUUGUUUCCUGAGAACGGCCUCUUAUUAUCUCAUCAUCUUGAUGAGAUUGACAGAUCGAUAGCAUGACUUCCUUUUUUGUUGAAAUUCUUUAAGCGGAAAUCUAAAAGUGUAGACGGCCACAAAAUAAACCCCCCGAAAGUGAGUCAUGAGGGAGCAUUAUUACGUGUUAAUGCUGGAAACUUUCCCUCUUAUUACAUGACAAGUAAGAGUAAUGAUAGCUGGAAGGAGCAUUAUGUUAGUCAGAGAGAGUGGGAGACAAUUUGAAGAACAACAGCUGGGCAGAGAGCCACAACUCUUAAAAAAAAAAAGAAGAUGAAGAAAAGAAAAAAAAAAAGCCCACUGCUUCAAGACACACACCCCUCUGUUCAGAUUGUGACUAAGCCCGCUUAGGCAAACACAUGUCACCCACAACCACUAGCACUGAUUCACACGACUCCUUAAAACACUCUCUCUGUGUCUCACACAGAUCAAUACAUAUACACACAUGCGGCGGCGGCAGCGCUUUAAGAGGUGGUAACCAGGAGGGACAGCGGCGACAGCGUAGGGGAGAAUGACUCCAGGGUGCCGGCUCUGCAGUCAUCAGACGUCACUCCUUUGUAGCCAAUCAUGUCAGCUGCCUGCCAUGUCCAUUCAUAAAGAAGCCACAUGCUCGCUGUCCAUGCUGUAUGAUAUUUUAUCCACACCCCACCUCCCGCUCCACCACCAACGCCACCGCUUCCACCUCCACCCCACCCCAGACGCUCACUUCAUUCAUGCCUUCUGCUGCAGAGCAAAAGGACUGUGCUAUCUGUGUCAGUUGAAGGGGGGGGGGCACACACACACAGCGUGACUGAAACAGAGAGGAAGUGGUGCUUCUGUAUUUAAAAAUGGCCUAUUGACCACAAAGACCUAUUUUAAUCACAAGACUUCAUAUCAGCGUUGCCUUCAACAGACUAUGUCUGGUAUAUUACCGCAGCACUGAUGAUAGCACAUACAUUGUGCUUCCCAUCUAAUCAUGGCUGCGCGACUGUAAGUCAGCCUCAGAGCAGAGUCAAACAAAUCGGCUGUGUGACAGUGAAUCAGCUCCUCUGUAACGCGAUCGCAGCGCUGGGGACGCUUACGCCGCUGCUAGUGACCAUUCAAACUCGGAGCAAUUCGAGACAAGCUGAAGGUGACCCAUCACCACCUUCAAAACAAAGCAAAAUUGAACAGAAAGAAAAAUCAGAGCACAACUUCACUACUUCAGGCUGUGUGAGAGUUUGCCGACAGCCUACAGACUGCUUUUCCUCUCCGCCUAUUAAGGAUCUGGGAGCAGUUUCUCAACCUUAACUUGUAACAUAUGAUAUCCAUCAACAGCAGCAGCAGCAGCAGCUCCUCUACUUUCUGGGAAUCUUUUCCCUUUCUUUUCUUUUUUCUUUCUUUUUUCACUUACCCGUCUGGGUGAGAGUAGUGUUUCCUCCCAGCGCUGAGUUUGGAAUGAGGGAACCCCCCCACAUACGCACACCCCCUUCCCUCAACCUCCACUCGAAUUUCUUCUUCUCUGGUGUCUUUUCUUUAAGUUUUUCCCAGUGUUUCUGGGCGUCCUCUUGCUCUGUCUCUGCUUCAAAGAGGGAUUCCGGGUUCCCUUUCACUUUGACUUUGCUUGGUCCAACAGAGAGUGAAAGAGAGAGAGAGAGAGGGAGGGAGAGACGAUGUUGGGUAACGGUGUCUCACCCACGUCACUGCCCAGGACCGUGAGGGCAAGUCACAUAAAGCUCGCCAUAGCUCAGCUUCUGAGAGAUUUCAUCCUUACAUGUCUCCUCAUCUGUUUCCCUGUCUUUUUAGCCUCCUCCCGUUGCAUUCUUCUGAGUGUAAUCAGUAACAGGCUUAAAGUGACAGCAGCAGCACUGAAAAACCGGCUCUCUCACUCACACACAGAAGCACACACUUUCACGUACGCACAAAAAGACACACACACACACACACACACACACACAGACAGUUUGUGAGGCUCCCUCUGGGCUAAAGGUGCUUUCCCAGAGCUCUGGAGACACUACAGCCGUUAAACUCCCUCUAAGCCCCGCCAAAGUUGCACUAUCACAUGUUUCACAGCAGUCUAUCUCUCUCUCUCUCUCUCUCUCUCUCUCUCACCUCCUUCCUUUUCUCUUACCCUUCACCCUCCCCUUCUCUCCCUCAACCCCUUGACUGACACUGUCGGACAUACUCGCUCACACACACUCACAGGACUGCUGCUUGUCCCUCUCUUAUACAUAGCCUUUAGAGGGGGCUGAGCCUAAAGCAGUGUCCUGUUACAGCUCUCAAUUGAGGUUAGGGAGAGGACAUCCAUUCAGAAAAAAGAGAGGAGGGAAGAAGGAGGGGGAGAGGGAGGAGGAAAAAAACUUAAGGGUAGCCUCUCUGUCUCUCUCUCUCUGUGUAUGUGUGUGUGUGGUGGGGUCUUCAAAAGCAGGAAACUCCCCCGCUAGAGAGUUGAGACUUCUAUAAAAAAAAAAGAAAAAGAAAAAAAAGGACUGCUUCUCAUAUAGUGCUUUGUUACUCGAGCACUUUAUACUACAUGUAUCAGUCACUCAUUCAUACAAGCGCUUUUUAAAAUGCCAAAGUGCUCUCUAUCUAACUUUCACACUGGAAGCCAUUCAGGUGAUUGAACCUCCCGCUCUACCUCCUGAGCCAUAGCCACCCUGAACUGAAUAUGAAAUAAGGCAACACACACAAAAACAACAGCUACAGUCUUUGUGACUUCCAGCCUACAUUCUCCACCCAUAAGGACAUACACCCACAUAAACAAAUGCUAUAUAUGUGCAUCGUAUCUCGACAGAUUUCAUGCGCCACAUUUGAAGAUGGAACUAACAGAUGGGCUGCUGAUUGAGACCACAAAGAGAAAGUACCAGAGUUUACAGAACCGGACGGACUCAUAAACAAGCGAGUAACCACAUGAUGGCCACAGCUACUAAGAAGAAAGUACCCAAGUUCACAGGUUAAAAAAAAGAAGAAAAAGAAAACAGGGGGCAGGAAUGGAUGAUAACAGUUCCUGGGGAGACUGUGAUAUAUUAAAUUUACAGGAGUCUUUGGCACCUUUUGUCCCCCUGAUCUGAAACUUUUGACCCGAAGCUGCCCUCGACCUCAGUCAACCCCCCUUGGUUUCUACCUCCCUCCUUGGAGCUCGCUUUCUCACCUACAUCCUGCUAUUUUACCCCAACUUCUGCCAACCACACCUAUGAACCAUCGCCACCCUGCCCCACCCUCAGCUUCCAUCCUCCUCCUCCCUGCUCGUGUGUAUGGGGUAAGAGUGGGUUGAAUGGGAGUCUCGAACUGAAGGAAUCACAUAGUUGGUUUGUUACUCACACAGGAGGCCAUGUGACUCACCAAAGGCCAUGCUGCACCCAUGCUACGCUCCCGUUACACAUAUUGUGGUACGGAAACACGCACACACGUUUUAGUGGAGCCGGAUAAAUGCCUUUGUCAGACCUCAUUCAUAACUAUUUAAAUAACCUCUGUGAGUCACAUAACAAGUAGGGUUAAGUAAUAUUUGACCUAUAUACACACAUUUCGGCAUUAAAGCCCUUAAGUGCAAUCUCAGGGGAACUUGCAACCUAUUGUUUUUUUGUAUGUACAAGAAUGCCACUGAUUACCUGACCUGACUGUCCUGAGGAGGUAAAGCUCUAUCACGUUAUAAAAGAAGCGCAGGAAAGUUUCUCACCUCAGUGAUGAUGUGAGUGGGAUCCCAGCUUCCUGUGAGCUGUGACAGCAUCAGUUGGCUCUCCUGUUUGGGACACAGUUUAACCUAGUAUGAGGGAUUGUUUGUGUAUGUCUUGUUGUUUCGGUGUGUUCUCUUGUAUACACGUGUACACUGUAUAAUUUCAUGCUACCUGCCCAGGGACUGUUGACGCAAGUCAGCAUUAGUGCUUAAAAGAUUUGGUUGUAUAUUUUUUUUAGAACAAUGUCCAUUAAAACACAGAGAUUCAGUCAAAUAAAAAGGGAGUUUUAAAGGGCUUAUAAAUAAAGCUUUCAUGAGAAAUAUUAUAUAAGAUUUUUUGUUUUUAGCCUAAAUUUAUAUUUCUAGUGUUUACAAACUACAUUUCCAUCCAGUGUCUUUGGACCUCAGGAGCUAACAUCAAAGACAUCGUCGCAUAUAGCUUUGCUUGUCGCGCGGAGAGAGUGAGUGGGUGAAGGCUGAAUAACAGCUCUCUCCGUGUGUGAAUGGGUAUCUGUAUGCACUUUGCUGUGUUCAACGGGUGCCGCUGAGCCUCGGCAUCAGGCUGUGCUCAAGCCAGGGAUGACUCAGGGUGAGAGCGGCUAAAUGACUCCAGACCUGCCGACAAACUGCGGCAUGAAUGUGCGCGGGUCGAGUCACCGGGGGGAUUUAAAUGGGAGCUCUGUGCGCUUGCCUGGUUUGUUUUUGUUUCGUUCUGUUUGAAAUAGCUUUGUUAAUUUUCUCUCGUGUAUUCCUGUGUGGAGCUAUUUCGGGUCGACCAUUUGAUACGGUGUGCACUGUUACCUGCCAAAAGCAGCGAUCUGACAGAUUAUUCCUGAUCUUGUUAUUCAGAUGCUCUGCAAGCCAGCGAUUAUGAGUCACUGAGAGGGAAAUGAUUUCUUUUUUUCUUUCUUUUUUCCCUAACAAGUGGGUAAUUUAUAGUUAAAAUGAAAAGAGUACAACGGUCUGGCUUUAGCAAAUGAUGAAUCUGCAAUUAUUGAUCCUAAAAAAAAUUUAUAAUAACACAAAACCAAAAAGGAGUCAGAUAAACAUGAGACUGAACAUAUUUUCUUCUAAAUGAUCUUAUCAGAAAAUAUGAAGAAAACUGUUCUGUUUUGCAGUUAAUUCACGUGUGAAAGGCAGCAAAUUAAUUAGCGUGUGUGCUGAUGAAAUUCACAUGAUGUGAGUCUCAGUUUGACAUUAAAGGGUUUCUGCUAAAGAGCAAAGUUUCUCAGUAACUAAGAGGUUUGCCAUUUUAGAAUGUGACUCAGUCUAUUGUGGGCACAAAGUGAGCACCGCCUGCUCGCUUUCUUUGGGUGGAUACAAGGGCGGAGAUGUGUUUCAACACACAUGCACAGCACAGGCGGAGGCCUUUCCUUCAUGUAGUCACAGACACACACGUACCCCCCCUCCACACACACACACACACACACACACACACACAAACACACACAAUGGAGAUUGCAGUGGAAAGGAAACUGGGGAUUCCUAAGAUUCCUGUGGACAAAAAAGGUGUGAACUCAGGCGGCCGAGCAGCCUGGGAAUUCUGCUGGGUUGACUUGAGAAGUUAAAUGGCUGACCAGAGUUAGUGGUGACACACAGACAGACAGAGAUAAAGAAGAGCUGGAGAGAUAAAGUGAAGGAAUUCAAACAGCAGGAGAGAGACGAGAAUGUGGAGAGAAUGCAAGAGAAAAUAUUGAAAUGGUAAAAUGGGUCAGCGGGGCUGUGUCUUUACAAGUAACUAUACCAGUGCUUAAUGAUUUACAUGAAAAACUAACGCUGUUCUUCUGCAGUCUGAUGUGAAACAGAGUAGUCAGAGAAUAAUGGCACAAGCAACAUACAGAAUUUUGCCUAUUUCAAGAAAAUCAAACUGUGUGUGUUUGUGUUUUCAAUGGUUUCAAAUACUUUCUUAUCCACCUUGUCUUAGCUGCAGUGGCGUUUUAUUCAUCCUACCCAAGUAAACAGGGUCAGAGAGAUAGCAGUGAUAGAGGUUGGGUGGGGGAGACACAAAGACCAGCAGUGAGAAGACCUACAGUAAGUUUCCACGGUGCUGCUCAGAGUAGUUUUAAGACAUGACAGUUCAAAAAAAAGUUCACUUGUGGAGGAUUUUCUUUCAGCUGGGUUGAAGUGAAUAAACAGAUUGGCUGUCCAUAACAACAACAACAAAAAAAGAAAACGCUUAAAAAGAAAAAGUGAGCAGCAAAUAAAAGCAAAAAAACCCAAAACAGCUAGAAACUGUGUUUCAGAGAAGUAGGGAAAAGGUCAGCAAGACAAAUAGAACGUGCUAGAUAUUUCCACAGACGUGUCAGAACAUCUAGAGAAUGUCUCCAAUGCCCCAAAUUCUUGUGAGCACUGAAAGUUCUUUCUCAAGUGACAUUCCACAUAGCCAGAGAAAGUUUGAAUUAUAAAAGCACAAACUGUCUCUCUCUCUCUCUCUCUCUCUCUCACACACACAUGCACACGCUCACACAAUAUGUCACAGAUGCACCUGUCUGUGCCAAGGCAGAAACUCCCAGCCAUUGAUAGACAAGAACAGACGUAACAGUGACGUCAUCUCAUUCACUAACCCGGCACACAAAGACACACCUCUGAAGAAACGCACGCUUGCAACCAACCAAGGACAGGAGAUGGAAAUAUGGCAAUCAGACUCCCUCCCCCACCAGCCUAGUGUAGUGUGUGUGUGUUCUGCACUGACUAUAUUAGGCCCGUCAGUUUCUAGCAUGGGGAGACGGUGAACACGCAGAUACAACUGUGAUGUCACAGUCACGCUGGAGAGGCAUGACUCUACAUCUUAUCUCUCAUCACGGUGCUUGUUCUGCAUUGCUCUCCACUGCCCUGCAGUGACGCGCGUGUCUGUUUGUGUAUGUGUGCGCGCGUGUGUGUGUGUGUGUGUGCGCUCGCACUUAUUACCCUGUGAUAACCCUGGGCGUUAGUGACAUGCAGGGAUAUCACAGCAGCUCUAGUGUUACACAAGCACCUCUGAGCUCAGGUGAAACACGCGGAGCAAACAUUUUGACAAUACUUGAAGUUUCCAUUACUAGUGCAAGUCUCUGUAAUUGCAUCAUACACGCAUGCUUCUAUUGUGACACGAUGCAUAACUAUUAGGUUGAGCUAUAUAAAGUAAUAGCUGCCAUAACGAUAGUGUUAGUAACAUAGUAUUAAAAAAUAAUUUUUGCUUAUUUUUUUUUAACUUUAGGUGAUACUUUUUAAACAUUUUAUUUCCAAAGUAAAUUCAGUUUUGAGCUCGUUGUAUUAUCCUUUCAUGUUUUACAUUUGUUCAGCCUGACCCCCCCCCCACAGAAAAAAAGUCUAUUUACAUUAUGUUUAUUUACAUGCACUGCUCACAUAAAUGUACUCCAUUAAUAGUUCAGUGCUAAUUUUUGACAGCUAAGACAACUUGAAAAAGAAAACACAGCAAUGUUAAGUUUUAUUAAGUCAAAGAUACUCAUUUUAAGCUCCACAGUCCAAAGCACGCCCACCAGAGAUGGUUCCACCUCUGUUUAAUAUUCUACACACUCUUUCAAAUACAACAUUUGGAAGUACAUGGAGCUAAAAUCUAGUUGUGCCUAUUGCACAGAAUUAAAUAAUAUUUACCUGUGUUAUAGGCUUGUUCCUAUUCUUGUAUAAAUUAUUGUGGUUAAUAGGUCAGUUCAUAUGAAAACAAACAAUCGUGCCCUCUGAUGAAUGAAGGCUGAGUAUUUCUGCUUUGAUUAAAUGCAGUAAUAACAGUUGCACUGGCUGCAGUUUUCAUGCUCUUGUAGUAAAAUGCAUAACGUGCCUGUGACAGCAUGAUCUGAUUAGUGCAGAAAUGCAUUACUUACAUAUGCAUGAAUGUAUGCCCGCCAGCAUUGUGGUCCCUUUAACAGAACUCACUAAUGCAUAGCACUGACUCCCUCACUUACACUGCAAGACUUCCUCUCUCUAUUCCACAACCGCACAGCGUGGGUUAUACGAAGGCUGGGACGGUGCUGCAGGCUGGCCCACUCCCAGGAUAUAAGAGCAGUGAGCUCUGCCAAGGCGGUGAGGGGUCACACUGUGGAGAAUGUGCGCAUGUGUGCGUGUCACAGGAUGGCUAUGUCACACAUGAGCUCCCUCGCUUGGCGGGUGGCUGUCUGAGCAGUGACACCAACAGCGGACGCCCACAUCUUGAUGCUACAGUGCAGAUAAAGCUCUUGUGUAACAUUCCACCCCCCACUCCCACUGCUCCUACCAGCGUUUCCUGCUCUCACUUCCGUGUCCUUCCCUCCCAUUCCUCGCCUGCCUUCCUUUUUCGCCCGUCCACAUCCCUCCAGCACUUCCCACCGCCUCAUCGACUGCUGCUCCACACCCCUGGGCUGGUCCCAUAGCUGGCCCACUUACUGGUUCUACACCCCAGACUGGUGGACUCCCUCUUGGCUUCCUGGAGAACCACCUUCUAUUAUCAGAACAACCGGCCCAGCCCAGUCCUCACCGCUGCUGAGUUCACUGGGACAUUGUGGCCCUGAGAGUGGUGUCAUGAAAUCUCCUAAAAUGGAACUACAACAAUUUCAGUUUUGUUUUUAUAGCAAAACAACCGUCAUCUCAAGGUGUUUCACACUGUACCGUAAAGACUCUACAAUAUUUAUUGGAGAGAACUCCCCUGUGUGCAAGCAUUUGGUAACAGUGGGGCAGAAGAACUGCCUUUUGACAGGAUGAGACGCAGCUAGGCUGAGGGGCACUCAGCCAUCUGCUGUGACUGGGUUUUGGGGUCAAGGGAAAAAGAUGACAGAAAAUGAAAAAUUCAGAGACAACUAACAAGUCCCCUUAAAGAUCAGCUGAAGCUAAAAAAGAAGAAGAAAAAAUGAGCCCAGUUUGCAGACACCUUCCUCGAGCGCAGCGCUCCGGGAUCUAUCCGUUGCGCGUACGAGAGCACGCGAGAGGCAGAAGCUGAAACAAC
Oreochromis niloticus (Nile tilapia) is the source of this 14079-nucleotide long non-coding RNA. RefSeq lists it as uncharacterized. The transcript is spliced from 3 exons. The record is from RefSeq and is a predicted model, not a curated record. Lineage: Eukaryota; Metazoa; Chordata; Actinopteri; Cichliformes; Cichlidae.